Molecule: ribosomal RNA, 322 nt
Filed under: Methanothrix soehngenii
Lineage: Archaea; Methanobacteriati; Methanobacteriota; Methanomicrobia; Methanotrichales; Methanotrichaceae
Description: bacterial SSU rRNA
Rfam family: Archaeal small subunit ribosomal RNA
Source: RNAcentral
CUGAAGCACUUUGCCGGAUUAGCUGAGAGGUGGUGCAUGGCCGUCGUCAGUUCGUACUGUGAAGCAUCCUGUUAAGUCAGGCAACGAGCGAGACCCACGCCCACAGUUGCCAGCGUACUCUCCGGAGUGACGGGUACACUGUGGGGACCGCCGCUGCUGCUAAAGCGGAGGAAGGAAUGGGCAACGGUAGGUCAGUAUGCCCCGAAUAUCCCGGGCUACACGCGAGCUACAAUGGUUGGUACAAUGGGUAUCUACCCCGAAAGGGGAUGGAAAUCUCCUAAAGCCAAUCUUAGUUCGGAUUGAGGGCUGCAACUCGCCCUCA